Molecule: long non-coding RNA, 273 nt
Organism: Clupea harengus (Atlantic herring)
Lineage: Eukaryota; Metazoa; Chordata; Actinopteri; Clupeiformes; Clupeidae
Source: Ensembl
GGUGCAACAACAAUGCGCCGAGCCUGAUGAAAGCUGCCAUCAAUGAGCCUGAACCUGUGCCUGUGUUCGUGAGUGGAGUGCUCCCUGUUUGUUUGAGACAGUGUGUGUGUGUGUGUGUGUGUGUGUGUGUGUGUGUGUGUGUGUUCGUGAGUGGAGUGCUCCCUGUUUGUUUGAGACAGUGUGUGUGUGUGUGUGUGAGUGGAUGGAGUGCUUCCUGUUUGUUUGAGACAGUGUGUGUGUGUGUGUGAGAGUGGAGUGCUUCCUGUUUGUUUG